RNAcentral lists this ribosomal RNA (930 nucleotides) under uncultured bacterium. RNAcentral's name for it is "bacterial SSU rRNA". It matches the Rfam family "Bacterial small subunit ribosomal RNA", at positions 7 to 917 of the family's 1533-position model. The record is from RNAcentral.
GAGGGUUUUGAUCCUGGCUCAGGAUGAACGCUGGCGGCGUGCCUAAUACAUGCAAGUCGAGCGAACGGACGAGAAGCUUGCUUCUCUGAUGUUAGCGGCGGACGGGUGAGUAACACGUGGAUAACCUACCUAUAAGACUGGGAUAACUUCGGGAAACCGGAGCUAAUACCGGAUAAUAUUUUGAACCGCAUGGUUCAAAAGUGAAAGACGGUCUUGCUGUCACUUAUAGAUGGAUCCGCGCUGCAUUAGCUAGUUGGUAAGGUAACGGCUUACCAAGGCAACGAUGCAUAGCCGACCUGAGAGGGUGAUCGGCCACACUGGAACUGAGACACGGUCCAGACUCCUACGGGAGGCAGCAGUAGGGAAUCUUCCGCAAUGGGCGAAAGCCUGACGGAGCAACGCCGCGUGAGUGAUGAAGGUCUUCGGAUCGUAAAACUCUGUUAUUAGGGAAGAACAUAUGUGUAAGUAACUGUGCACAUCUUGACGGUACCUAAUCAGAAAGCCACGGCUAACUACGUGCCAGCAGCCGCGGUAAUACGUAGGUGGCAAGCGUUAUCCGGAAUUAUUGGGCGUAAAGCGCGCGUAGGCGGUUUUUUAAGUCUGAUGUGAAAGCCCACGGCUCAACCGUGGAGGGUCAUUGGAAACUGGAAAACUUGAGUGCAGAAGAGGAAAGUGGAAUUCCAUGUGUAGCGGUGAAAUGCGCAGAGAUAUGGAGGAACACCAGUGGCGAAGGCGACUUUCUGGUCUGUAACUGACGCUGAUGUGCGAAAGCGUGGGGAUCAAACAGGAUUAGAUACCCUGGUAGUCCACGCCGUAAACGAUGAGUGCUAAGUGUUAGGGGGUUUCCGCCCCUUAGUGCUGCAGCUAACGCAUUAAGCACUCCGCCUGGGGAGUACGACCGCAAGGUUGAAACGCAAAGGAAUUGACGGC